Molecule: long non-coding RNA, 2280 nt
Filed under: Brassica napus (rape)
Lineage: Eukaryota; Viridiplantae; Streptophyta; Magnoliopsida; Brassicales; Brassicaceae
Description: long non-coding RNA (BNAP_LNC016817)
Source: RNAcentral
CUAGUCUUUCGUAAUAUAUUAUUCAACCGUGGUUUUAACUUCCGUGAUUAUUUAAUUUCUGGAUUGGUGAUAAGUUUGAGAUUCUUAAUAUACAUUUUAAAUUGCAUGCAUAACAGAAAAUGAAAAGAUGGUGGUGAGAGGUAGAUCAUUGAUGAUGGUGCACACCAAUGACUACGACGAGCCAUCGGCCAACGGUAGACACAACCCACCUGGUGGGAGGCGUGGAGGAGGUAGGAGAGGGGGAAGAUAAACUUAACAAAAUGUUUUCUUACUAUGAAGAGAAAAAUAACAAGAUUAUGUUUUAGAUAUAUAUAUAUAUAUAUUUACAUAUUUAUAUAUUUCAGUCUUACUCCUUUUCUCUCAGCAUUUCAUGUCUUUAUAUACUGAGAAAUAAAACCUUUUGCAAAUAAUAUGUACUGAUAAAUUAAUAAACAUGUAUGAACACUUUCAACUUAAAGCUUAAAAGAAUACGCAAUAUCUCUAAGGCUCUCACGUCGACCAAAAGGGAUAUCAACUAUUACAUUAAAAACCGCACAUGAUCUUCAGAAAUUUUCCUUUUAAAAAGUGAGAAAACCCCAAAAUCCUUUUUUGGCCAAACAAUCUGACGUUGACAUGUUUUGAAACGGACGGUGCCUGUAAGUCAACGCCCCAUGCAACACAUGUUCGCCUCGCUUCUGUGCUAACUGUGGAAUCCACGAUUUGUCUGAGAUAGUCAACUCAUACAUCCACUAAGACGAUGCCAUAUGGUAAGCAUCAGCUGCUGUUUGGACAUCCGUAACAGGUUCUGUGUUUUCGAUCUUUGAUUUUAUUGCUACAUUAAUUCAUUAAUAUCUUGUUUUUAAUCGAGUUUGAUCUUCUCAAAGUGAUAAGUCAAAAUGAAAAUUAGAUACUGUAUGGAGCCAUUAAGAUACAAGCGUCAUUUUCGUAUUUUGGUUAAAAAAUUAUGCUGUGUAUUAAUGGAUAAGCAUACAUUCAAUCAAAACAUACAUGCGAAAUAAGUUUGGUUUUUUUUUUUGCUAAAAUCAUGCAAAAUAAUUUGUAGUACAAGUAGAUAGAUUGGCAUCAAAAUAUUCCAAGGGCAUGCCUUUUAAGGCCUCUAUAAUACCAUUCUUUGAUCAAAAUGUUUUCAAGUUGUUGUGCCCUAAAACAUCAGAGCCCUAAUAUACCUUCUAAAGUUGACAUUUCAAAAUGAGAUUGUAGAGUUUUUUACGUAUAUAGAUUAUAAUAUUCCGGGUGUGUAGCACUACCUUAUUUUAAAGUAGUGUGAAAGCUAAUAAAACAUUUUGCGUUUAUAAAAGGAGAGGGUGACGAGAGGUAUAGUUGAAUAGAGGGCAGAGAGAGAGAGAGAGAGAGAGAGAUACAAAUAUAAUAAGGGAAAUUUAGAGAGGAUGGGUUAUAGUUCUGCAAUUCGGCUAUGUUUAUGCAUCUUCUUUGCACUUUCGAUUGUCUCUUCGGCUCGACUCAGUUUAUCAUUUCCAGGUAACUAGAACAAUCUAGCUCAUCAUCGAUCCCAUCCACAUACUAUAAAAAGGAAGAAUAUAGAGUUGUAUAUUUUCUGAUGUGAUUUCAUUUUUUGGCCGUAGAAAUAUUGAUGUGACUUUUUUGGCUCUGGCUCUAGAUUUUUAACUUUCAAAAGUCUUUAAAUUUGGGUUCUAAGAAUUUGUAUUUUGAGAGUAAUUAUAAAAACAUAAAUUUAAAGAUGUGUUGUGGAUUAAAAAAAAAGAUUGUGAACUUUAAAAAAUAUAUAAAUCAAGAUUAGUGUAAAUUUAGAGAUGUGGAUAUAAUUGUGGCCGUGGAGAGCAACUACAGCAAUAGCCAAUCACACCCGAAUCCAUAAUCGUAUAUGGAUUGCCCAGUCUCCUCAGCUAUAAUUAUCAAGCAGAAUUUUAAUAAACAUGGUUUAGAUCUAUCUCGUAUAAAGUCAAGUAGCUGAUUAUACAUGCGUGCCUAAGGAGAUAGCUAGUCUUUCGUAAUAUAUUAUUCAACCGUGGUUUUAACUUCCGUGAUUAUUUAAUUUCUGGAUUGGUGAUAAGUUUGAGAUUCUUAAUAUACAUUUUAAAUUGCAUGCAUAACAGAAAAUGAAAAGAUGGUGGUGAGAGGUAGAUCAUUGAUGAUGGUGCACACCAAUGACUACGACGAGCCAUCGGCCAACGGUAGACACAACCCACCUGGUGGGAGGCGUGGAGGAGGUAGGAGAGGGGGAAGAUAAACUUAACAAAAUGUUUUCUUACUAUGAAGAGAAAAAUAACAAGAUUAUGUUUUAGAUAUAUAUAUAUAUAU